CAUCACUGUCUCUCACUCGGGUAGGUAGAGCAGCACUAGUUGCAGAGUACUACACCUCAUCUUCCUCCUCAUACCCUCUACGUCGUCCCCAGGUGUACUGUAACCAUUGGAGACGAUACGAAUGCUGAUGUGGGGGACGGAGGAGGGGUUGUGGUUCGGAGCUUCUUUAGCUCCCAUGCGAACGAACUUAAGCCCUCGUCGGAACUGAGCUCUCGCUAUUUCUAACGCUACUCUGGCUCCGUCUCUUUCUCUCUCAAGAGCUCUCUAGGGUUUCUCUCUUAUUUCUUCCAAAAAUCUAGGGUUUUCAACAAUGCAUUCAGAUUUUUGAUUCUUUGUUGUACUCUGUCCCUCGAAAUCAGAAAACAUUAUUUUUUAGAGCGUAGCAGAGCAGAGGAACUCAACUGUCAUGGCCAAAACGAAGCCUGGGAAGAAAGACUUGGAUGCCUACACCAUUAAAGGCACUAACAAGGUUGUCCGAGUUGGAGAUUGUGUGCUGAUGCGUCCUUCGGACACCGACAAGCCACCUUACGUUGCACGCGUUGAGAAGAUUGAAGCUGAUAUUAGGAAUAAUAUCAAGGUUCGGGUUAGGUGGUACUAUAGGCCUGAGGAGUCAAUUGGAGGGAGGAGACAGUUUCAUGGAGCGAAGGAGUUGUUUCUCUCGGACCAUUAUGAUGUGCAGAGUGCGCACACUAUCGAGGGAAAGUGUACUGUCCAUUCGUUCAAGAACUACACUAAACUAGAGAAUGUUGGAGCUGAGGAUUACUUCUGUAGAUUUGAGUACAAGGCUGCCACCGGUGGAUUUACGCCCGACCGUGUCGCAGUGUAUUGCAAAUGCGAGAUGCCUUAUAACCCGGAUGACCUCAUGGUCCAAUGCGAAGGAUGUAAGGACUGGUUUCAUCCUUCUUGUAUGGGUAUGACCAUUGAACAAGCAAAGAUAGUAGAACACUUUCUGUGUUUUGAUUGCGCGUCCGACGUUGAUCCCAGAAGAUCCCCGAUCAAUUUGCCUGUUUCACCACCUGGUGAGCCUAAGAUGCUGGAUGCAGCAUGUGGAUCUUAAAGGAAGGAAAAGAAAUUUUGUUGAAGAGAGGAAAGACCGGAAGAGACAAUAAAAGCUGGUGGAGCCAAAGCGUCGGAAGAGGUGACUGGUUGAUGAUGAGGAGGAACUCAUUUCCUUGCAUGUUAGCACUCCAUUGAUGGUGUUAUGUGGAGUUGUACAGUGCAGAGAACAUACUGUGAUUGCACAAAUUAGAUGUUUUCUUAAUUCAUGUGCUUUAACUUCAUAUGAAUGCAUGUGUUUCCAUGCAUGCGUUGGAUUUGGGUCAAUCCCUGGUGAUGUCUGGUCUGUGUACAAACUGUGCAAAAAAUGUUCUCUUUUAAGGACGGGGUUCUUUGAAGAACAAAUGAAAUGGAGUGUUAGGAGAGGAAACUGCAUUUAAUGCUGGUCUUCAUGUGUGUUAUAUGUGCGCAGUUAGUAUCAAAGCAUUAGCUUGAAGGCAAAGCGAACGAUGGCACAACAAUUACUGUCCCACCGGCAUUGUAUUACUCAGCGCAGGGUUCGCUUCAUGACUCAUUGUAUUGUUGGAGCAUGCACUUUCCAUGAGGCCUGUGCGCCAGUUAGGCUUGCAAGCAUGGCUUUUUUUCUGUGACUGGAGAGGUCGAGUAAGAGGGUGUGUAUUGGAGCUGGAGGCUUCUUUCUCUCUCUCUCUCUGAAAUCCUCCAGUCACCGGAGAGAAAUUGGAGUCUGAGCUCUACUUCAUACUAUGUAUUUAUGCCCCGUUUGUGUGAUGGUAUAACUUUAGUUGAAUUUGGAUUUUGGUAGUUGAAAUUUGCCUGUUUGCAUCAAUUCUAGGCAAAAGAUUUUAUAGAUCGUUCAAAUCUGAAGUCGAUUGCACUA
Molecule: RNA transcript, 1894 nt
Organism: Macadamia integrifolia
Lineage: Eukaryota; Viridiplantae; Streptophyta; Magnoliopsida; Proteales; Proteaceae
Gene name: chromatin remodeling protein EBS-like
Exons: 6
Source: RefSeq, a predicted model, not a curated record